CGGGGCGUAGCUCAGACUGGCAGAGCGUCAGCUUUGGGAGCUGAAAGUCGCUGGUUCAAAUCCAGUCGCCCCGA
RNAcentral lists this transfer RNA (74 nucleotides) under Kiritimatiellia bacterium. RNAcentral describes it as "Kiritimatiellae bacterium (wastewater metagenome) tRNA-Pro". It matches the Rfam family "tRNA". Rfam says of the family: Transfer RNA (tRNA) molecules are approximately 80 nucleotides in length. Their secondary structure includes four short double-helical elements and three loops (D, anti-codon, and T loops). Lineage: Bacteria; Pseudomonadati; Kiritimatiellota; Kiritimatiellia. The record is from RNAcentral.